Molecule: long non-coding RNA, 1114 nt
Filed under: Vigna radiata
Lineage: Eukaryota; Viridiplantae; Streptophyta; Magnoliopsida; Fabales; Fabaceae
Description: long non-coding RNA (VRAD_LNC004912)
Source: RNAcentral
UAAAGAAAUGCGUUGAAUUUUUUAGUGAAUUAAAGAAAUUUGUUGAAUUAGUUAGUGAAUUAAAGAAAUUCGUUGACUUUGGUAGUGAAUUAAACAAAUGAGUUUAAUUUGUUAGUGAAUUAAAGAAAUGCGUUGAAUUUCUUAGUCAAUUAAAGAAAUUCAUUAAAUUUGUUAGUGAGUUAAAUAAAUUUUUUGAAUUUGUUAGUGAGUUAAAGAAAUGUGUUGAAUUUAUUAAUGAAUUAAAGAAAUUCGUUGAAUUAGUUAGUGAAUCAAAGAAAUGUGUUGAAUUUGUUAGCGAAUUAAAGAAAUUCGUUGAAUUUUUUAGUGAAUUAAAGUAAUGACUUUAAUUUGUUGGUGAAUUAAAGAAAUGCGUUGAAUUUGUUAGUUAAUUAAAGAAAUUCGUUGAAUUUAUUAGUGCGUUAAUGAAAUUCGUUGAAUUUGUUAGUGAGUUAAGGAAAUGCGUUGAAUUUUUUAGUGAAUUAAAGAAAUUCGUUGAAUUAGUUAGUGAAUCAAAGAAAUGUGCUGAAUUUCUUAGCGAAUUUAAGUAAUUCGUUGAAUUUGUUACUGAAUUAAAGAAAUGAGCUUAAUUUGUUGGUGAAUUAAGGAAAUGCGUUGAAUUUGUUAGUCAAUUCAAGAAAUUUGUUGAAUUUGUUAGUGAAUUAAAGAAAUUCGUUGAAUUUGUUAGUGAGUUAAAGAAAUGCGUUGAAUUUUUUAGUGACCUAAAGAAAUUCGUUGAAUUAGUUGGUGAAUCAAAGAAAUGUGUUGAAUUUGUUAGUGAAUUAAAGAAGUUCGUUGAAUUAGUUAGUGAAUUAAAGAAAUGAGUUUAAUUUGUUAGUGAAUUAAAGAAAUGCUUUGAAUUUGUUAGUCAAUUAAAGAAAUUUGUUAAUUUUGUUAGUGAGUUAAAGAAAUUUAUUGAAUUUGUUAGGGAGUUAAAGAAAUGCGUCGAAUUCUUUUGUGAAUUAAAGAAAUUCGUUGAGAUAGUUAGCGAAUUAGAGAAAUGCGUUGAAUUUGUUAGUGAAUUAAAGAAAUGCGUUAAUUUGUUAGUGAAUUAAACAAAUGUGUUGAAUUUGUUAGUGAACUAAAGAAAUUCGAUAUAUUUAUUAGUGAAUUAAAN